RNAcentral lists this long non-coding RNA (261 nucleotides) under Elaeis guineensis (African oil palm). Its description in RNAcentral is "long non-coding RNA (EGUI_LNC061471)". The record is from RNAcentral. Lineage: Eukaryota; Viridiplantae; Streptophyta; Magnoliopsida; Arecales; Arecaceae.
AAGCCUUCUGCUACUCGAAUUGCUAAGGCCAGGUCCUGCAGAUUUCAUUUUUGCAGCUCUUUCCGUGCCCACUCCUGGAGACCCAUCUCAAACCUAAACACCUUUGUCUUCUUCUGCCAUGUUCCCUAUCUCCAGCAUCAAUGACUGAAACUGCCUAACAUACUCACACACGGACCCAGUCUGCCUCUGAUGCUUUUCCCGCCGUCUAUACCUUUUAUUGCUUUGCUCCUGCGAUCGGCGCCCGCGCUAAUGGUGAUCCCC